CUACGCUGAUCACCUCACUGACAAACCCUCCUUCUUUAUCUUCUCUUUUCUCCUCUCCCACUUCUGCUCCUCCAAGUCUGUCCAUAUCUCUCUCCACGCGACUCCUACUAUCCCCGCACUUCCUCAUGAUGACCUCUCCUUCCGCUUCUCUCAUUCCUUCUCAUCUAUAUUUUUCCCUCAUCGUCUUCCUCCAAGCUCAUCCACAACCUCUCCUUCCUCCUCCUCUUCACCCAUUCUCCUCUUUCUCUUCCUCCAAGCCUGCUCAUGAUGACCACUCCAUGAUGGCUCCCUCCAACUUUGCCCUUCUUUGCCGGCAUCCCCUUUUUCUUUCUCCUCUCUUUCCUCAUCAUCUUUCUUCUCCUCUAAGUCCACCCAUGAGUGCUCUCCCUUCUUCCCCCUCCUCUUCCUCCUAAUCCAUUCUCCUCCUCUUCCAAUCCCACCUGUGAAACUUUUGAUGCCAUCCUCCCAUUCUAUGCCGACCUCUACGAUCCCAUUCUCUCCCUCCAAUGGCAACUCCCUCCACUUUCAUCCCUUCUUU
This 538-nucleotide long non-coding RNA is filed under the name Elaeis guineensis (African oil palm). RNAcentral's name for it is "long non-coding RNA (EGUI_LNC028902)". The record is from RNAcentral. Lineage: Eukaryota; Viridiplantae; Streptophyta; Magnoliopsida; Arecales; Arecaceae.